RNAcentral lists this ribosomal RNA (28 nucleotides) under Botryosphaeria dothidea. RNAcentral describes it as "partial 18S ribosomal RNA". The record is from RNAcentral. Lineage: Eukaryota; Fungi; Ascomycota; Dothideomycetes; Botryosphaeriales; Botryosphaeriaceae. RNAcentral also lists the same sequence under 6 other names.
UUCGUAGGUGACCUGCGGAGGAUCAUUA